CCCAGUGUGGUGUAGUGGUUUGAGCAUUAUAGUAUGACUCUAUUAACCAGGGUUUGAAUCCCUGCUCAGCCA
Molecule: non-coding RNA, 72 nt
Organism: Phrynosoma platyrhinos (Desert horned lizard)
Lineage: Eukaryota; Metazoa; Chordata; Lepidosauria; Squamata; Phrynosomatidae
Source: the annotation of a GenBank genome assembly